GAGCCAUUAGCCCUAAGGGAUACGGAUGAAGUAGAUCCAACCAUCCCACUGCUUGAUGAAGAAGCACAGAACUUUGAAUUCAAGGCUGCCUUUAUCUAGAUCCCUGACUGACCUGCACUGAGGAGAAAGCAGUUCCAGCUUUGGAAACUGGGGCACUGGGGGAGCCAGGUUCAGGGACAGAGAAUUUGAGCAGUGUCCUGGUAACAGCCUGCAUGGAAGCAGAGGUCAGUUCCUGAGAAGCUCUGCCUGCGUACCUCCUCAGUUUGGGGGAAGGAGGAGCCCCGACCUGGUCAAAAUCAGCCUUCCUUCCCCAGAGCGCCUGUGACCUGAGACCAGGCAAGAACCACGACUGACCACAGGGGAGAAUCCAGUCACUUUCGUUACACUGUGCUCCUGUUCCCUUGGGAAGCCAGCCCCACACUCCUGUAGACUCUCUCUCAUCCCCUAGAUGAGCCUUUUCGUCUACCCCUUGGACAUUCUGACCUCGUACACACCUCGAAGUGUACCGGUAACUCUGCUCUAAUAUGUCAAGUUCUGAAAACAUUUCCACUCUUCUGGCCAAGGAGGCUCAGCCAGUUGUGGGGUGAAAUUUGGGAAGCCUGGAUUGGGAAGUGAAGAUCACCUUGUUCUGUGGAAAGUGAAAGAGGAAUUGAAGCGAGGAAGCUAACGCUCUUCCUUUGGUUCCAGCGCAUCAACCUUCACCUCUCCCCGCAGCACCGCGAUCACCAGCCAUCAAGGCCACCUUGCCCGGUGCCUUUUUUUUUAAAUAUGGCUUUAAAUGCUUCAUCGUGGUUAGAAGACAACAUAGAGAAGCAUUAACAAAAUGAUGGGGAAGACACAAAAUAGAAGAACAGAGAAAGAAGAAAGAGGAAGUAGAAUUCAGGAGGAGAAAAAAUCAUGACAUUGGUUUAUUGAAAACUGAACAGAAGGCAAAAUUGCACCCAGCCACCUCCAGCCCAGCAGGCUUGUCAAAACCAACUCAGACACAGGGGGACUCUUACCUAUUUGUCUCUGGAUCUUCAGAAUGGAGUCAGGAGAGGUGGCAUUUGGAGGCAGCGGAGCUGUGCUGGUUACCUUCGUUUCCCCCUCUGCAUCUACAGAGGUGUUUUGCACAUAAAAGGAUUUCAACAGAGUGAAAUGAUCACUAACUUUUAAGUUAUAUCUACUCUUGCAAAGUGAAAUGUGGAGUUCAGAUGUCUGGGGGGAUAAAAAGGUGUUACAAAAAGACCCAAAUGGUCCACAUGAAUAAAAGAUGAUACAUUUGGGCCA
RNAcentral lists this long non-coding RNA (1269 nucleotides) under Sus scrofa (pig). Its description in RNAcentral is "lncRNA (ENSSSCG00065073140.1)". The record is from RNAcentral. Lineage: Eukaryota; Metazoa; Chordata; Mammalia; Artiodactyla; Suidae.